AGCAGCCGCGGUAAUUCCAGCUCCAAUAGCGUAUAUUAAAGUUGUUGCAGUUAAAAAGCUCGUAGUUGAAUUUCGGGAUCAAUAUAUCGGUCGUGCCUUCGGUACGUACUGGUAUCGUUGAUUUCUACCUUCUGACGAACCAUGAUGUCAUUAAUUUGGUGUCAUGGGAAAUCAGGACUGUUACUUUGAAAAAAUUAGAGUGUUUAAAGCAGGCACACGCUUGAAUACAUUAGCAUGGAAUAAUGAAAUAGGACGUUUGACCCUAUUUUGUUGGUUUCUAGGAUCGACGUAAUGAUUAAUAGGGAUAGUUGGGGGCAUUAGUAUUCAAUUGUCAGAGGUGAAAUUCUUGGAUUUAUUGAAGACUAACUACUGCGAAAGCAUUUGCCAAGGAUGUUUUCAUUAAUCAAGAACGAAAGUUAGGGGAUCGAAGACGAUCAGAUACCGUCGUAGUCUUAACAUAAACUAUGCGACUAGGGAUCGGAUGAUGUUAAUUUUUUAAUGACUCAUUCGGACG
RNAcentral lists this ribosomal RNA (514 nucleotides) under uncultured Glomus. RNAcentral describes it as "SSU rRNA". It matches the Rfam family "Eukaryotic small subunit ribosomal RNA", at positions 569 to 1086 of the family's 1831-position model. Lineage: Eukaryota; Fungi; Glomeromycota; Glomeromycetes; Glomerales; Glomeraceae. The record is from RNAcentral.